RNAcentral lists this long non-coding RNA (454 nucleotides) under Pan paniscus (pygmy chimpanzee). Its description in RNAcentral is "lncRNA (ENSPPAG00000045373.1)". Lineage: Eukaryota; Metazoa; Chordata; Mammalia; Primates; Hominidae. The record is from RNAcentral.
GUUUUUAACAAGGAAUACAGCAUCAUAUUUCCUUAAGAAGAAUAAAGAUUGUAUAUCUUUAAGGUGAAAAUUCUAACAAGGAGCAAACAGCAAAGAACUGAAAUGCUAUACAGACUCCAGUGAGAAAAAACUGAGGUAAUUGGUUUCGGUGUGCCGGUGCUUGAAACUCUAUCCCAGUGCUUCCUUCAACUAAGGCUGCAAAUUGAAAAUGUGAACAACCUUGCCUGCUUGAACCAGCCUGGGCUUGUGGCAGCAUCAUUCUGUCACUUAACUCUUCUCACAGAGGGAAAGAAGGCUACUGUCCAGUUUCUUCAAUGUCAGUUCCUUGUUUGCAUACAUUCUGAAGGUGCUAUGUGCUUCAAAAAUUCUUUGCCAGACUGGGAAAAUUGUGCUUUGGAAAUCAUUAAAUUUCAUCCUUUUAAAAAUACAGGUGUGAUUUUUCACUGGACGGAAA